This 800-nucleotide small RNA is filed under the name Pan troglodytes (chimpanzee). Its description in RNAcentral is "processed transcript". Lineage: Eukaryota; Metazoa; Chordata; Mammalia; Primates; Hominidae. The record is from RNAcentral.
GCAGAAUUGGCCCCCGAGCCCCUCAGCACAGCCGCGGUGUGACUGGUGCACAGGACACUUCCCCUCUAGAGUCCCCUCCGUGGUCAGCUGUUGUGACAUUUGAAUUCUCCAGCUGUGCAAGUUCAUUCGCAAACGUCCUAGAAGUGGAACUGCUGGGUCAAAGUGCAUUCCCCAAAUGUCCUGCCAGAGGCCUGGUCGGCAGCAGCCUCCUGCACAGCCCGAGUCCCUUCUGCGAGAGUCCGGGCUUGUUUGCAGCCUGCAGCUGGGAGAUUUGAAGUCAGACUUCCAGGAUUGCCGCAUGGAGCUGCAGAGGGAGUGAGCAUGGGGCUGGAGGACCUGCCCCGCCGGCUGACACUCCCGCAGCAAGGCGGGCCCGCCAAGGAAGCACUCCACAUCCGCUAGGUAGGGUUUGUCUACAUCUUUUUAGUUCUUCAGUUUAAGUCCUGCCUGGGAAGAAAGCAAACUCCAGAGGCAAAUCUGGAAUGCCUGUGUGCCACCUUCUCACCGCACCACAGACUCCCGAGGACGGGUUGUGGCGGGGUUGGCCCCAAGCAUGGGAGGCAGCGCAGACAUGCAGAAUGGGGUCUGAGGUCACGUUGCAACGCUGGCAGGAUGUGUGCUCAAGGGCCAGUCUCUGCAGGGGUCAGGGCGUGUGGGCCACGCACAAGGAGCUGGCACUAAGCCGCUUAGGCUGCAGGAAGACACCAUCUGCCUGGGGCGGACAAGGCCCCAUGUCCGUCCUCAAGGAGGCUGGUCUGGAUGAGAAGGGUCACAGUCUGGCCAGGAGUGACACCGUGCCC